Molecule: ribosomal RNA, 467 nt
Filed under: uncultured Bacteroidota bacterium
Lineage: Bacteria; Pseudomonadati; Bacteroidota
Description: bacterial SSU rRNA
Rfam family: Bacterial small subunit ribosomal RNA
Source: RNAcentral
AGUCGAGGGGUAACGGGGAAGCUUGCUUCCGCCGACGACCGGCGCACGGGUGCGUAACGCGUAUACAAUCUACCUUAUACUGGGGUAUAGCCUUUAGAAAUGAAGAUUAAUCCCCCAUAGUCUCUUAAAGUGGCAUCACUUAAGGAGUAAAGGUUACGGUAUAAGAUGAGUAUGCGUUCUAUUAGUUUGUUGGUGUGGUAACGGCACACCAAGACUACGAUAGAUAGGGGCCCUGAGAGGGGGAUCCCCCACACUGGUACUGAGGCACGGACCAGACUCCUACGGGAGGCAGCAGUGAGGAAUAUUGGACAAUGGAGGCAACUCUGAUCCAGCCAUGCCGCGUGCAGGAUGACUGCCCUAUGGGUUGUAAACUGCUUUUAUACAGGAAGAAACUUACACACGUGUGUGUAACUGACGGUACUGUAAGAAUAAGGAUCGGCUAACUCCGUGCCAGCAGCCGCGGUAAU